CUAGUAAUCGCGAAAUCAGAAUGUCGCGGUGAAUACGUUCCCGGGCCUUGUACACACCGCCCGUCACACCAUGAGAGUCGAUAACACCCGAAGCCUGUGAGCUAACCUUUCAGGAGGCAGCAGUCGAAGGUGGGUUNAUGAUUGGGGUGAAGUCGUAACAAGGUAAC
Molecule: ribosomal RNA, 167 nt
Filed under: uncultured bacterium
Lineage: Bacteria
Description: partial 16S ribosomal RNA
Rfam family: Bacterial small subunit ribosomal RNA
Source: RNAcentral